This 67-nucleotide transfer RNA is filed under the name Rattus norvegicus (Norway rat). It matches the Rfam family "tRNA". Rfam says of the family: Transfer RNA (tRNA) molecules are approximately 80 nucleotides in length. Their secondary structure includes four short double-helical elements and three loops (D, anti-codon, and T loops). Further hydrogen bonds mediate the characteristic L-shaped molecular structure. tRNAs have two regions of fundamental functional importance: the anti-codon, which is responsible for specific mRNA codon recognition, and the 3' end, to which the tRNAs corresponding amino acid is attached (by aminoacyl-tRNA synthetases). tRNAs cope with the degeneracy of the genetic code in two manners: having more than one tRNA (with a specific anti-codon) for a particular amino acid; and 'wobble' base-pairing, i.e. permitting non-standard base-pairing at the 3rd anti-codon position. The record is from Rfam by way of RNAcentral. Lineage: Eukaryota; Metazoa; Chordata; Mammalia; Rodentia; Muridae.
GGAUUUAGCUCAGCGGUAGAGCGCUUGCCUAGCAAGCACAAGGCCCUGGGUUCAGUCCCCAGAUCCA